CCUACGGGAGACAGCAGUGGGGAAUAUUGCGCAAUGGGCGAAAGCCUGACGCAGCGACGCCGCGUGAGGGAUGAAGGUCUUCGGAUCGUAAACCUCUGUCAGCAGGGAAGAACGGUCACUGUGCUAAUCAGCAGUGAAUUGACGGUACCUGCAAAGGAAGCACCGGCUAACUCCGUGCCAGCAGCCGCGGUAAUACGGAGGGGGCGAGCGUUAAUCGGAAUUACUGGGCGUAAAGCGCUCGUAGGCGGUAGGUCAAGUCAAGGGUGAAAUCCCCGCGCGCACCGUGGUAACUGCCUUUGAAACUGGCAACCUGGAGUGUGUUAGAGCAUAGUGGAAUUCCAGGUGUAGUC
This 350-nucleotide ribosomal RNA is filed under the name uncultured bacterium. RNAcentral describes it as "partial 16S ribosomal RNA". It matches the Rfam family "Bacterial small subunit ribosomal RNA", at positions 338 to 680 of the family's 1533-position model. The record is from RNAcentral.